RNAcentral lists this non-coding RNA (1033 nucleotides) under Pongo abelii (Sumatran orangutan). The record is from RNAcentral. Lineage: Eukaryota; Metazoa; Chordata; Mammalia; Primates; Hominidae.
UGGGACUCACCUCCGGGAGACCCCGAGGGGGAGAGGGCGCUUCCUCUGCGUCCAUCGCCCUUGCGGCCCCUGGGUGGAACUGUUUUACAAAUCUGAGGGCCACCAUUCCAGGUAUGGCUAGCCUCCCGUUGGAGAAUUUUUACCAUCUUUCUUCAAUGUAGUUCUUAUUCUUCUGGGCAAACCAAGCCUUUUCGUUUGGAGUGGAGCUUGGGGUCCCCAGGAGGGGAGUCUCCGGGAGGGGGAGGCAUAGCUAAGGGUUCCUCUCUAGAAGGUGGAGUUGUCGUUGCAGCCCAUUUGCCUCUUCGUCUGCCUUUCUGUUUUGUUGCUUUUCGGCGCCUCUUGCAGUGCAUUGCUGCCACCUCUUCUGGGGCCCACACAGCAUUUAACAGCAGUAGAAUUUCUUCCUUAUACUUUGUUUUUUCACUUCCAGCGGUUAAAGGUCUUUUAUUCUUUGUAAACAGCCUCAUGAACAUGCAAAGUGGCAGAAGCAUAUUUGGAAUCUGUGUAAAUACUUGCCUUCUGCUCUUUUCCUAGCCAGAGAGCUCUUGUCAGAGCUAUUAGCUCUGCUUUCUAAGCAGAAGUUUCUGUAGACACAGACGGCACCUCUGCUACUGAGUCCAAAGUCACCGCGGCAUACCCAGCUCGGCAGACUCCCUUUAGUAUGAAACUGCUUCCAUCAGUAAAAUAUUCAAUGUCCAGGUCCCCGAGGGGCUGAUCUGCUAAAUGUUUCCGGCCUGAGAACACUUUAUCUACCACGUCCACACAGCAAUGAAGGGGACUUCCUGUGUAGGGUCCAGCCCUAUGGGGGCUUAGCGGGUGUUCUCCCCGUGUGCAGAGACAAGAGAUUGUAAGAAAUAAAGACACAAGACAAACAGAUAAAGAGAAAACAGCUGGGCCCGGGGGACCACUACCACUAAGACAUGGAGACCGGUAGUGGCUCCGAAUGGCUGGGUGCGCUGGUAUUUAUUGAAUACAAGACAAGGGGGCAGGGUAAGGAGGGUGAGUCGUCCAAGUGAUUGAUAAGGUCAGGCAA